RNAcentral lists this ribosomal RNA (253 nucleotides) under uncultured bacterium. RNAcentral describes it as "partial 16S ribosomal RNA". It matches the Rfam family "Bacterial small subunit ribosomal RNA", at positions 524 to 776 of the family's 1533-position model. The record is from RNAcentral.
UACGUAGGUGACCAGCGUUGUCCGGAUUUACUGGGCGUAAAGAGCGCGCAGGCGGUCGUUCAAGUCGAGUGUGAAAGCCCCCGGCUCAACUGGGGAGGGUCAUUCGAUACUGAUCGACUUGAAGGCAGGAGAGGGAAGUGGAAUUCCCGGUGUAGUGGUGAAAUGCGUAGAUAUCUGGAGGAACACCGGUGGCGAAGGCGGCAUCCUGGACCGGCAUUGACGCUGAGGCGCGAAAGCGUGGGGAGCAAACAGG